RNAcentral lists this ribosomal RNA (1325 nucleotides) under metagenome. RNAcentral describes it as "bacterial LSU rRNA". It matches the Rfam family "Bacterial large subunit ribosomal RNA", at positions 1561 to 2925 of the family's 2925-position model. The record is from RNAcentral.
AGUGGAUGGGGAGCAACCUAGUUGUGCGUGUGUAAAGGUAGUGCCAAGAAAAGCGAUGAUCAUGUUGAAAAUCAAUUCCCGGUACCCGAAACCGACACAGGUGGGCAAGUAGAGAAUACUAAGGGGCGCGAGGUAACUCUCUCCAAGGAACUCGGCAAAAUGACCCCGUAACUUAGGGAGAAGGGGUGCCACCGAGAGGUGGUCGCAGUGAAGAGGCCCAGGCGACUGUUUAGCAAAAACAUAGGUCUCUGCAAACUCGAAAGAGGAGGUAUAGGGGCUGACGCCUGCCCAGUGCCGGAAGGUUAAAGAAGUUGGUCAGUCUUAGGAUGAAGCUAGCGACUGAAGCCCCGGUGAACGGCGGCCGUAACUAUAACGGUCCUAAGGUAGCGAAAUUCCUUGUCGGGUAAGUUCCGACCCGCACGAAAGGCGUAACGAUCUGGGCGCUGUCUCGGAGAGAGGCUCGGCGAAAUAGGAUUGACUGUGAAGAUACGGACUACCUGCAUUUGGACAGAAAGACCCUAUGAAGCUUUACUAUAGCUUGGAAUUGUGUUCGGGCUUCCUGUGCGCAGGAUAGGUGGGAGGCGUAGAAGGUAUUCUUGUGGGGAUACUGGAGCCAACGGUGAGAUACCACUCUCAGGAGGCUAGAAUUCUAACUUAAUUAAGGACAGUUUCAGGUGGGUAGUUUGACUGGGGCGGUCGCCUCCAAAAAGGUAACGGAGGCGUACAAAGGUUCCCUCAGACUGGUUGGAAAUCAGUCGAAGAGUGCAAAGGCAGAAGGGAGCUUGACUGCGAGAAGUACAGUUCGAGCAGGGUGGAAACACGGUCUUAGUGAUCCGACGGUGCUGUGUGGAAGGGCCGUCGCUCAACGGAUAAAAGUUACUCUAGGAUAACAGGCUGAUCUCCCCCAAGAGUUCACAUCGACGGGGAGGUUUGGCACCUCGAUGUCGGCUCAUCGCAACCUGGGGCGGAAGUACGUCCCAAGGGUUGGGCUGUUCGCCCAUUAAAGCGGUACGUGAGCUGGGUUCAGAACGUCGUGAGACAGUUCGGUCCAUAUCCGAUGUAGGCGUGAGAAUAUUGAGAGGAGCCUUCCUUAGUACGAGAGGACCGGGAAGGACGCACCGCUGGUGUACCUGUUAUGAUGCCAAUUGUAAACGCAGGGUAGCCAAGUGCGGAGAGGAUAACCGCUGAAAGCAUCUAAGUGGGAAGCCCACCUCAAGAUGAGUAUUCUGGUGUAAGGUCACGGGAAGACGACCCGUAAAUAGGCACGAGGUGGAAGUGCAGAGAUGUAUGAAGCCGAAGUGUACUAAUAGACCGUCGGCUUGAUC